Molecule: long non-coding RNA, 1533 nt
Organism: Phoenix dactylifera (date palm)
Lineage: Eukaryota; Viridiplantae; Streptophyta; Magnoliopsida; Arecales; Arecaceae
Source: RefSeq, a predicted model, not a curated record
UCUCAUCUUUAUUGCUCGGUUACUCCUUUUUUUCCGGGACCCUGUUUCUUCUUGCACAUUGGUUUCAUCUUUUGUGUGGCUUUCGAGUACACUAGUGGAGAAAAAAUCAUCUUUUUCUUCCACUUUCCCACUUUUUAAACUGUUGCCCCUCUGCUUGGUUUGUUAUCCAAUGCAUAGAUUUUUCUUUUCCUGUUUGUGGGUUCUUUGGGUUCCCAUUAGAUCUCUAAAGGUUGAACCUUGAUGUUGUGUUUUGUUGUUUUGAAGAAAUUUUAUAAUUUUCUGUUGUCCUGUUGGUUCUUGGUAUCUGUUUGCAGUUCUGUUUUUCUCCUUCUACCCGUGCAUUGGGUUUCCUUGUGUUUUCUUGGGGUUUCUGAUGAGAAUUCUGAUGUCUGGUGAAAAUGGUUUAGGCUUGAAGUUGAAUUGCCGGAGUUAAGGGAAUGUUUGUUAUUUUUUUGUGUCGUAGGAUGGGGCUUUAAGUAAUUGUGAUAUGCUGGUGUCAAAUCUCUUUUCAUGAGGGUGUUUUCCUGCAAAUUCUACUGCCCCUUCAUCUGCUCCUCGAAGUCAUCCCUACGCCUUUACUCACCUUGCGCUUUGAGAUCGGAAGAUAUCGAGCAUGCUUCUUCUGGUCCAUGUCCGAUUACUCAUGGCCUGGAGGAGAGGUUACCAGAUGAAAAAAUGGUGGUCGAGAAGAUUGAUGGAUUAGUCCACGGGAAAGUUGAGACCUUGCUAAAAAGCAGCCUUAAGAAGUCAUCUGGGUCUGGUCUGAAAGAGGUUGGAAAGAGGAGGGUUAAGUGGAUGGAUAUGGUGGGAAAGGAACUUGUUGAAAUCAAAGAAUUUGAACCCAUGAUUCGUGGAUAUGGAUGUGUGUGCUACUAAUAUCCAACCCAUAUCCAGUCUAUUUCAGCUCUACCUGAUCAAGUUGUAGCAAUCUAAUCCACUCAAGGCCUACUUUCUGGAGAUCACGAAAGAGAGAAAUUUUCCAUGAUGCCUGUUCAUGAAUUUAAUCAGACGUAAGGAUGAGUUAAGAAAAUAGUCAGCGAUAGAGGUUUCCAGUUGAUUGGAUUGACUGGAUGAUUCAUGAUGUAAACGAUCAUGGUGAGAAGUAUAAAAGUUUUAACUUGUGCAAGAGAUGGUGUAACAGACUUAAAUGCACACAAGUGAACCGGGAGAGUUAGAUGACAAUGACCAUGGCAACCCAGCGUGUAUUUGUGUUAUCCAAUGACCAAGUGAUCCAUCUCAAGAGACCAAGCACUUGCUCGUCAUCCAGCUACUGUGAAUUAAAGAUUCAAAUUUUCUCAAUUGAUAUGCUGUGGUACCUAGUGUCUUUUACUCUCAUUUCCUGAUUUAAAUUGUUUUCCUUUCUCCUGACUUUUUUUUUUUAAAGAUGUCAGGUAGGCACACUAUUUGCUUGUUCUCUCCAGAUUCAUUCUGGUAAAGCUAGCGGGGAUCAAUUGUUUUUUUCCUUUGAACAUAAGGAUGUUUUGUGAUUGACUGAAUGAUAAUACUAUACGUUUUCAUUUCUGCCCACUUUCA